Triticum dicoccoides is the source of this 807-nucleotide RNA transcript. RefSeq lists it as uncharacterized. The transcript has 4 exons. The record is from RefSeq and is a predicted model, not a curated record. Lineage: Eukaryota; Viridiplantae; Streptophyta; Magnoliopsida; Poales; Poaceae.
CCUUCUCCGCCGCCGCCACCCACGCCGGUGAUUUCGGCAGCUUCCGGCGAUUCCGGCUGCUGCCGACGACGCCAAGCACACUCGCAUGAUCGCCUCCGUCCGCUCCGUCUUCCCUUCCGAGCAGAUUCGUCGCUCGCGUCCUCUAUCGGUCACCCGCGACCGUCCCCUAAGCUAGGGUUUCGGCCACCGCGUCGCCGGCGUGGCUCCGGCGGCUCAGGUACAUCUCUCCAUCGAGAUCCCUCGCAACCCACCCUCUCUUACUCACCUAUAUCCUCUCCCUCCCAGAUCGAGCACGCCAAUGUCGCCGUCGUUUCGCUUGCGCUAGAACAGCAAAGGGAAGGCCAUGGACGACGCCGCUCCAGCCCUUCUCCGACGCCAUCAAGCAGUAGCAGCAACUCGAUGCAGGGACGAGGGAGAGGAGGAGUCCUGCUUCCCCGGCGUGCAUCCUCUCUCUCGGAACGACACCCAACCUCAAGCGAGAGCAGGCAUCCUCCGUGGAUGAUGACGACAACCAGGGCAUCCACCGCCACGACGACACCCCGCACAUGGUCCAACUCGGCUACAAGCUCCUCUACCGCGCGACUGCGGCCGCGGUCGUGUUCGGCAUCGACUAUAAUCUCCUCUCCGGAUCUUUGGUUCAUUAUACUGACUGCAUGCCACCUCUGUCAUCGCUGCCCCGUCUCCCGCACCAUCGGCACCGCCCCUCCGCCUUCUCCUUUGAUGCUGUAGUGGAUUCUUAGAAUGAAAAUGUUGUGUACAUCAAAAAUAUUUUAUGUUCUAUGUUUGCAAAACCAUGGUUGUUGAAUC